RNAcentral lists this small RNA (158 nucleotides) under Pongo abelii (Sumatran orangutan). RNAcentral describes it as "processed transcript". The record is from RNAcentral. Lineage: Eukaryota; Metazoa; Chordata; Mammalia; Primates; Hominidae.
AGUGCAGUGAAUAGAAGACACUUCUCUGCACCCCAAAAGCUCCAUGCUGAUUGCGAGAAGGAAAUGCUGGAUGGAGGGGUUCCUGGAACUACUGUGAGGGAAAUGGUGAGAGAACUUUGGAUGUGGAACGUGGAGGAGGAGGAACACGAAGUGGGGAU